Molecule: non-coding RNA, 368 nt
Organism: Loxodonta africana (African savanna elephant)
Lineage: Eukaryota; Metazoa; Chordata; Mammalia; Proboscidea; Elephantidae
Source: Rfam
AGUGUACCCUUAUCCUCCUGACUUUUUAGCAGCUCCGGGUAAAUAUUGAUUUGCCCCCAGUUUACCUCCUCCCCCACUGGCCAUUUGGAGACUAAAGAACUGGCCUCUGUAGGGACCUGAUUUUAGCAUUACUUUCCACCGGAUUGCCUCCCUUCCCUCCUCCAAGUGGCAUAGUAAAACAGGGUGACAAAGAGACAGAAUAGGGUUCGAGGCUCCAGUUCCUGGCCUUGAGGGCUGUUUUACAUACGUAUCAGACACGGCUGGAGGCCAAGGUCAAGUUGAAAGUUGCAGUCUAGCCAGCGUGAGAACUGCCAUGCAAGCCUUGAGACCCAGGCGGCUUUGAAAGACCCUCUGCUUUCCUCCCCUCA